RNAcentral lists this ribosomal RNA (253 nucleotides) under uncultured bacterium. RNAcentral describes it as "partial 16S ribosomal RNA". It matches the Rfam family "Bacterial small subunit ribosomal RNA", at positions 524 to 776 of the family's 1533-position model. The record is from RNAcentral.
UACGUAGGCAGCGAGCGUUGUUCGGAAUUACUGGGCGUAAAGAGUGUGUAGGCGGUGUUCCCAGUCUAUUGUGAAAUCUCCCGGCUUAACUGGGAGGGUGCAGCGGAAACUAGAAUGCUAGAGGGUGGGAGAGGUAAGCGGGAUUCCUGGUGUAGCGGUGAAAUGCGUAGAUAUCAGGAGGAACACCUGUGGUGUAGACAGCUUACUGGACCACUUCUGACGCUGAGACACGAAAGCGUGGGUAGCAAACAGG